GCGGGAGUAGUUCAGUGGUAGAACAAUAGCUUUCCAAGCUAUUUAUGAGGGUUCGAUUCCCUUCUCCCGCUCCA
Molecule: transfer RNA, 74 nt
Filed under: Candidatus Omnitrophota bacterium
Lineage: Bacteria; Pseudomonadati; Candidatus Omnitrophota
Description: Candidatus Omnitrophica bacterium tRNA-Gly
Rfam family: tRNA
About the family: Transfer RNA (tRNA) molecules are approximately 80 nucleotides in length. Their secondary structure includes four short double-helical elements and three loops (D, anti-codon, and T loops). Further hydrogen bonds mediate the characteristic L-shaped molecular structure. tRNAs have two regions of fundamental functional importance: the anti-codon, which is responsible for specific mRNA codon recognition, and the 3' end, to which the tRNAs corresponding amino acid is attached (by aminoacyl-tRNA synthetases). tRNAs cope with the degeneracy of the genetic code in two manners: having more than one tRNA (with a specific anti-codon) for a particular amino acid; and 'wobble' base-pairing, i.e. permitting non-standard base-pairing at the 3rd anti-codon position.
Source: RNAcentral